This 326-nucleotide ribosomal RNA is filed under the name uncultured eukaryote. RNAcentral describes it as "partial 18S ribosomal RNA". It matches the Rfam family "Eukaryotic small subunit ribosomal RNA", at positions 1470 to 1796 of the family's 1831-position model. The record is from RNAcentral.
CCCUUAGAUGUUCUGGGAUGCACGCGCGUUACACUGAUUCGUUCAACGAGUUUAUGACCUUGCCUGAUGAGGUGGGGGAAUCUUUUCAAAUCGCAUCGUGAUGGGGAUAGAGUAUUGUAACUGUUAGUCUUCAACGAGGAAUUCCUAGUAAGUACGUGUCAUCAGCUCGUACUGAUUAUGUCCCUGCCCUUUGUACACACCGCCCGUCGCUCCUACCGAUUGAGUGCUCAGGUGAAUAGUAUGGACUGCAUCAGUGUUCGGUCUCCGAAUGUUGGCGCGAGAAAUUCUGUGAAUCUUAUGGCUUAGAGGAAGGAGAAGUCGUAACA